ACGCACGCUGGCGGCGUGCCUAAUACAUGCAAGUAGAACGCUGAAGAGAGGAGCUUGCGCUUCUUGGAUGAGUUGCGAACGGGUGAGUAACGCGUAGGUAACCUGCCUUGUAGCGGGGGAUAACUAUUGGAAACGAUAGCUAAUACCGCAUAACAAUGGAUGACACAUGUCAUUUAUUUGAAAGGGGCAAUUGCUCCACUACAAGAUGGACCUGCGUUGUAUUAGCUAGUAGGUGAGGUAAUGGCUCACCUAGGCGACGAUACAUAGCCGACCUGAGAGGGUGAGCGGCCCAACCGGGAACGAGACCAGGCCCCGGCUUCUAAGGGAGGCAGCAGUAGGGAAACUUUGGCCAUGGGGGCAACCCUGACCGAGCAACGCCGCGUGAGUGAAGAAGGUUUUCGGAUCGUAAAGCUCUGUUGUAAGUCAAGAACGGGUGUGAGAGUGGAAAGUUCACACUGUGACGGUAGCUUACCAGAAAGGGACGGCUAACUACGUG
RNAcentral lists this ribosomal RNA (496 nucleotides) under uncultured bacterium. RNAcentral's name for it is "partial 16S ribosomal RNA". It matches the Rfam family "Bacterial small subunit ribosomal RNA", at positions 29 to 507 of the family's 1533-position model. The record is from RNAcentral.